This 301-nucleotide ribosomal RNA is filed under the name uncultured bacterium. RNAcentral describes it as "partial 16S ribosomal RNA". It matches the Rfam family "Bacterial small subunit ribosomal RNA", at positions 509 to 807 of the family's 1533-position model. The record is from RNAcentral.
CAGUCACCACGGUAAUACAGAGGGUGCGAGCGUUAAUCGGAUUUACUGGGCGUAAAGCGUGCGUAGGCGGCUUCUUAAGUCGGAUGUGAAAUCCCUGAGCUUAACUUAGGAAUUGCAUUCGAUACUGGGAAGCUAGAGUAUGGGAGAGGAUGGUAGAAUUCCAGGUGUAGCGGUGAAAUGCGUAGAGAUCUGGAGGAAUACCGAUGGCGAAGGCAGCCAUCUGGCCUAAUACUGACGCUGAGGUACGAAAGCAUGGGGAGCAAACAGGAUUAGAUACCCGCGUAGUCCCUGUCUCUUAUAC